Long non-coding RNA from Mastomys coucha (southern multimammate mouse), 861 nucleotides. RefSeq lists it as uncharacterized. The transcript is spliced from 4 exons. The record is from RefSeq and is a predicted model, not a curated record. Lineage: Eukaryota; Metazoa; Chordata; Mammalia; Rodentia; Muridae.
UCGCCAGCUGUGAAGAGGGCCUUUAGUGAUUUCCCUGACAGCUUGUCCUCUGCGGCUUUCGGUCAGUGAUGUAUUACCUCAAACACAGUCCGUUUGAAACAACUUAACUGACUUACCAGCGAGGUGGGAAGGAUCGCUCAGAGGCGAGGACCUGGGUCUUAAAUAUCAGUCUAAGCUAACACAUCAGUUUGAAUAUAUAGAGAAGCCCCAAGAACUAAUAGCUAUCACGAAUUGAACCAUCAUAUUCCCGUGUUGCUAUAAAACUAAUGACAUUUACCGUGUCACCAGCUACAUAAUGAGCUCAAGGCUAGCCUGGCCUACAUGUGAUAUGAGUAAUAUCUUACAUUGGGCAGAGAGAUGAUGUUCUGAACUGUUGAAUGAUCAUAAGACUACUGUGUAAUCCAAGCUUUCUGCUAAAGAACAAAAACUUCAUCCACCCCCUUCCAAUGGGCUGUCAGUCAUCUGAACAGGAUACCUCAUAGGAAAGCUCACCAGGAAAGGAGAAAAAAAGCAACCAUUCAAAAAUAGAAGGAACCUGGCUGACCUGGACCUUGGCCAAAGCAUGCUUGUAGUAUGUAUAAUCACCUGACAGUAGCUGGAGUGAACCACUUCUGAGGGGCUAAUGAUUGAGGAGUGUACGCUGCUCCCUUCGAGGCAACAAGGAAGAUAAACAGGCUUGGCCCAUCAGGAUGAAGGAAAAGGAGAAGAAAAUUGGGCAAACAGAUUCAUAAAGCAUUGUCUCAGAACCGAUCAACAUGGGGCUGUCUGUAGACAAAGUCACAAGGAACUCCACACACAGGAACUUGGUGUCAUGAUUAAAGUGAGAUGCCUGGCAAGAAGGAUCUCCUUCCCUUGAGUGUA